Molecule: ribosomal RNA, 421 nt
Filed under: uncultured Prochlorococcus sp.
Lineage: Bacteria; Bacillati; Cyanobacteriota; Cyanophyceae; Synechococcales; Prochlorococcaceae
Description: bacterial SSU rRNA
Rfam family: Bacterial small subunit ribosomal RNA
Source: RNAcentral
UGAACGCUGGCGGCGUGCUUAACACAUGCAAGUCGAACGAACCUUCGGGUUAGUGGCGGACGGGUGAGUAACGCGUGAGAAUCUGCCCUCAGGAGGGGGAUAACGGUUGGAAACGACCGCUAAUACCCCAUAUGCCUAUUGGUGAAAUGAAUUUCGCCUGAGGAUGAGCUCGCGUCUGAUUAGCUAGUUGGUGAGGUAAUGGCUCACCAAGGCUUCGAUCAGUAGCUGGUCUGAGAGGAUGAUCAGCCACACUGGGACUGAGACACGGCCCAGACUCCUACGGGAGGCAGCAGUGGGGAAUUUUCCGCAAUGGGCGAAAGCCUGACGGAGCAACGCCGCGUGAGGGACGAAGGCCUCUGGGCUGUAAACCUCUUUUCUCAAGGAAGAAGAUAUGACGGUACUGAGGAAUAAGCCACGGCUA